GAUGAACGCUAGCGGCAGGCUUAAUACAUGCAAGUCGUGGGGCAGCAGGACUGUAGCAAUACAGUUGCUGGCGACCGGCAAACGGGUGCGGAACACGUACGCAACUUACCCUGAACUGGGGGAUAGCCCGGGGAAACCCGGAUUAAUACCCCGUAAUAUAAUGGAGUGGCAUCACUUUAUUAUUAAAGCUCCGGCGGUUCGGGAUGGGCGUGCGGCUGAUUAGGUAGUUGGUUGAGGUAACGGCUCACCAAGCCUACGAUCAGUAACUGGUGUGAGAGCACGACCAGUCACACGGGCACUGAGACACGGGCCCGACUCCUACGGGAGGCAGCAGUAAGGAAUAUUGGGCAAUGGAGGCAACUCUGACCCAGCCAUGCCGCGUGGAGGAUGAAGGCCCUCUGGGUUGUAAACUUCUUUUAUAGGGGGCGAAACCUGUGUAUUCUUACGCAGUUGACGGUACCCUAGGAAUAAGCACCGGCUAACUCCGUG
This 489-nucleotide ribosomal RNA is filed under the name uncultured bacterium. RNAcentral describes it as "partial 16S ribosomal RNA". It matches the Rfam family "Bacterial small subunit ribosomal RNA", at positions 28 to 507 of the family's 1533-position model. The record is from RNAcentral.